Molecule: unclassified non-coding RNA, 346 nt
Filed under: soil metagenome
Description: partial contains 5.8S ribosomal RNA, internal transcribed spacer 2, and large subunit ribosomal RNA
Rfam family: 5.8S ribosomal RNA (bases 1-119)
Source: RNAcentral
GAUGAAGAACGUAGUGAAAUGCGAUAAGUAAUGUGAAUUGCAAAUUCAGUGAAUCAUCGAGUCUUUGAACGCACAUUGCGCCCCCUGGUAUUCCGGGGGGCAUGCCUGUCCGAGCGUCAUUGCUGCCCUCAAGCACGGCUUGUGUGUUGGGCCCCGUCCUCCGAUCCCGGGGGACGGGCCCGAAAGGCAGCGGCGGCACCGCGUCCGGUCCUCGAGCGUAUGGGGCUUUGUCACCCGCUCUGUAGGCCCGGCCGGCGCUUGCCGAUCAACCCAAAUUUUUUAUCCAGGUUGACCUCGGAUCAGGUAGGGAUACCCGCUGAACUUAAGCAUAUCAAUAAGCGGAGGA